UACAUUUUAGUGUAUGGUGCACAAGAAUUUUUGAAGUUUUAUGAAAUAGUUUAAUUCUAUUAAAUGUAA
Molecule: transfer RNA, 69 nt
Filed under: Ischnoptera deropeltiformis
Lineage: Eukaryota; Metazoa; Arthropoda; Insecta; Blattodea; Blattellidae
Description: tRNA-Gln
Source: RNAcentral